This 253-nucleotide ribosomal RNA is filed under the name uncultured bacterium. Its description in RNAcentral is "partial 16S ribosomal RNA". It matches the Rfam family "Bacterial small subunit ribosomal RNA", at positions 524 to 776 of the family's 1533-position model. The record is from RNAcentral.
UACGGGGGGGGCAAGCGUUGUUCGGAAUUACUGGGCGUAAAGGGUUCGUAGGUGGCCAACUAAGUCAGACGUGAAAUCCCCCGGCUUAACCUGGGAACUGCGUCUGAUACUGGAGGGCUUGAGUAUGGGAGAGGGAUGUAGAAUUCCAGGUGUAGCGGUGAAAUGCGUAGAUAUCUGGAGGAAUACCGGUGGCGAAGGCGGCAUCCUGGACCAUUACUGACGCUGAGGCGCGAAAGCUAGGGGAGCAAACGGG